Molecule: transfer RNA, 59 nt
Filed under: Ornithodoros zumpti
Lineage: Eukaryota; Metazoa; Arthropoda; Arachnida; Ixodida; Argasidae
Description: tRNA-Val
Source: RNAcentral
GGGGAUGAAAUCUAUGUGAUGUUUCAUUUACAAUGAAAAUUGGUUAUACACCAUCCUUA